Molecule: long non-coding RNA, 8846 nt
Filed under: Lactuca sativa (garden lettuce)
Lineage: Eukaryota; Viridiplantae; Streptophyta; Magnoliopsida; Asterales; Asteraceae
Description: long non-coding RNA (LSAT_LNC008150)
Source: RNAcentral
CAACUGACAACACGCUCACUGGACCAGAAAUCAUAAGGGAGACUACGGAGAAGAUUGUUCAAAUCCGAGAACGUCUAAAAGCAUCAAGGGAUAGACAAAAGAGUUACGCAGAUAAGAGACGCAAACCCUUGGAAUUCCAAGUUGGAGACCAUGUCCUACUCAAAGUCUCACCUUGGAAAGGUUUAAUACGCUUCGGAAAACGUGGAAAACUGAACCCUAGAUACAUCGGACCAUUCGAGAUCCUUGCCAGGAUCGGUCCAGUGGCUUACAAACUUAGACUACCUCAGGAACUCCACAACGUACACCCUACCUUUCACGUAUCAAAUCUAAAGAAGUGCUUAUCCGACGAGACCCUUGUCGUCCCUCUAGACGAAAUUGCAAUAAAUGAAAACCUUCAAUUUGUGGAGGAACCAGUAGAGAUCAUGGAUCGGGAAAUCAAAAGGACUAAACAAAGCCGAAUACCCAUUGUAAAGGUCCGCUGGAACGCCAAGCGAGGACCUGAAUACACCUGGGAACGCGAAGAUCAGAUGAAACAAAAGUACCCGCAUCUUUUUCCUAAAACUGUAAACUCUAUCUUAGAUUAAAUUUCGGGACGAAAUUCCCUUAACAGGGGGAUGAUGUGACAACCCUAUUUUUCCCAAAAAGCAUUGUAAACACUCGAAAGCUAAAAACAACGAAAUUAACCUCGAAAAUAAAGUGUUCAAGUAUCUAAGUUGGGAUGCAUCGAAUAUUAGAUAUCAUGCCAAGGUUUCCAAAAACAUAAAGAACGCUCAAAACCGGGUUAUAUUGAAGAAAUUAUAACCACUCGUAUAUUUACGACGCGACGUUAAAACAAUAUUUGACAUAAAAAGUAGAAUCUCAAUAAAAUGCAUUUUAAGCCUUAAGUAUCUAAACAAAAGUCGUAGAUCUCGUUGAAAGGUGAACGUACAUAAAAAGAUCGCCCAAAUUGGACCUCGUAUGAAGAAGUUACGAAUUUUCAAAGUUUCGUAACAGUAGUAGAGGGCUAAAAACUCGGAUUGAAGAUCGAGUGUUAUUUAGCUAACGCAACCUAAACGAAAGUUGAAGAUCUCCUCAGUAGUAAUAAAACAAUAAAAAGACAAACGAAAACCGACGUCGAAUAAAGAACCUAUGAAUUUUUAACGAACUUUAGGAGGCCCGGCCUAUUAAAAAUAUAUCAUUAAAAAUAAAGUCAAAACUAGCCGACGGAGUCUAAAGGAAAGUUGUAGAGCAUAAUCUCACCUACGCGUGGAUAUAAAGAACGCGAAAAACGGAGAUCGUACGCAAAAGUUACGGAAUUUAGAAGUCGGAAGCAGGGAUUACGCCCCGCGUACUCUGGGAGUACGCCCCGCGUACUAGACCCAGAGUCGAGUCCCAUCGGCCCGCCCAAGCUACGCUUAGCUAGCCAGGAGUCGUAAGCCAUGACGCCAUAUUACGCCCAGCGUAACGACGUACGCGCUGCGUACGUGAGUACGCCCCGCGUACUCCAAAAUUACGCCCCGCGUACGAGGCAAUUCCAGCCUAUAAAUAGAAAGGUUCAGCUUCGAGUUUUUGCACACUUUCACAACUUCUCAGUCAUUCUCCCAUACCACUAAGUUCCAGAGACCAUUUUUCUCACCUCGGUUUCCGCACUCGAGCCCCCGACGGAAGAUUUACGCUGCAGAGAUCCCCGAAGAGCCCGACGACGCAACCAUCCGCGGACGAAGUUCUGCUCAACCCUAGCCUCUCUCUUCGAAACGAGUGAGUUCAUACCCCUACUUUUCAAUUCUUUUCACAUUUUAGGGGGGGAAAUACAAGUACAUUACAAAUCAAAGUAUUAUUUUUAUAAUAUCGUUCUUAUAGAGUGUUGAUACAAAAAUAACUUUAUGUUUUAAAGGGAUAUUAUAUCACCAAGUUGUUAUUACCAAAUGGGAACAUACUUUUGACAAACUAUAAUGAGCAUAGUAUUCAAGUGAUUCAUACAUUUUACAUAUACAUCUCGACAAAUGAAAUGCUUUCAAAAGAAGUACAGUCUUUUAUCAUCGUAAAUCUGUUUAUACCUAGUAAUGUGAGACAGCUUCACGUACGUUCGAGUAUGCAUUAUUAAGUCCUGUAUUAUAUACCAUAAUCCCUUGUAGGGGGAGCGUGAUACUUGUGUAUAGAUCUAUACGGGAUUGACAAUCCCACACCUAAGCUGUUAGCUACAGCUAGGCCGGCAGGCCUGGGGUGACAAAUGUCAUAACAGUUCCAACGCCUGAAGAACGUUGUUACAGGCCAUCAUUGUCAAUAGCAUGGUUAUAAAACUCACAUAAAAGUAUAAAAACAAGUUAGAUUUACGAGAUUCAUACAUGCAUUUCAGUUUUCCAUUUUAUUGUUAAUACAAAUGUUAUCACUAUUAUUCAAGCAUGGAAAACACUAACGCACUCCAACACGGGAAACUUUUCAAAUCAUUUAUAGAAAAUAUUGGAUUUUCUGAAAACCUCGUUCAUCGAUUUACUAUCAAAAAGGACAUACUUUUCAAUGCAAAACACUUAUGAACUCACCAACUUAAUUGUUGACACUUUUUCGAAACCACUUGUAUUUCUCAGGGAAUCAGUAAUACAGGUAACUACCAGCUUUUGGAGAAGGAAACACUAAAGAUGUUUUAUUAUUGAACAUUUAUCAUCUCAUUGUAAUAUUCUUUUGCUAUUAUGUAUAACGCAACAACAUACGUUUUCAUUAUAUAUGUGAUGGUUGUGUUACUUUCUUUACAAUAUUCAAUGGUUGUGAUACUACGUGAAGUCAUCCACCCCCGAAUGUUUCCGCCAUUCUGGUUUGGGGGUGUGACAGAUUGGUAUCAGAGCAUUGUUUAUAGUGAACUAAGUAUAUCGAACCACAUACGAUAUACAAACUAUAAAUGCAAAGGGGACCAAAAACCCUCUGAUGAAACAUUUUCAUGAACAAAAUACUUUCUUUUAAAGAUAUACAUUUUUACAAGCAUGCAUAAAUCUCGUAUCAUAACAAGUUUUACUAAAAAGUAUUACGGCAAGUUACGACACUACGAUUGAGCCUCGGGGUAUGUAAUCAUGUCGAGAAUAAAUAUAGCCUGAUCAACUAUAUUUAUCCUGGAUUUGACCAACGUACGUCGAGGAAUGGUCGUAGUGGACAACAAGCCGAAAACUUACCAAAUACAAAAUUGUUCUAGUUUCGCCAAGUUGAAAUAGUAUAGAAGUAUUAUUAAAAAUAGUUGUACAAUAAAAAUUAUAGUUAAAAAUAAUAAGUCGCUAAAUAGAAAUUUCUUUUCUUAUAACGUUCUCAUACAUCUAUCCUAGUACAGACAAAUGGCCGGAUUCCAUUUACCAGGAGAUCCCUACUACCCAAACCAAGGCAACGGCGGUUGGAUAGAAGAAGACCCGGAGGAAGACCCAGAGGAAAUCGAAGAAGAGGUCGAGGAAGAAUUCGAAGUCGAAGUCGGAGAGGAGUUCGAAGUCGACGAAGAGAUCGUGGAGAUUUCUAGCGGGACAGACUCCGAGCCAGAAGUGUACGACCCUCCCAUCCCUCAUCCUCCCGUAAUCAGACCAGAUCAACCGGGACCCAUCCCCAUCUGGGGAAGCCACCUCUACUACUGGAGCCGCCAACAAGGUGUACGCCCUCCAUUCGGCAUGUGUCGGGAUUUUUACAACGUCAGUGGGGGAGGCUCAGCAGAUCGAGCACUUCCUGUCGUCGUGAAUGCUAUAGCUAACCAGAACUACCAGGCGGACCAACAAGCAGCCAGAGUUCGUGAAAUCAAUGCUGCUACCCAAGGUAACGCCGCUGACAUCCGCCGUUUGGAAGGACUACAUGAGAAUACCCAAAUCUACACGGGAACACUUCAGAACCAAAUGAUAGUGGCUCUGGCAGAAAUAAGAGGGAUGAAGGAACAACAAGCAGAUCUCGAGAGGCGACUGAUGGGAGUCAAACGGUCGGAUGCCGAGUCUAGCUCCAAACGCCGCAAGUAGAGCUUGUUCGAUGCCCAACAAUUUUGUUAUAGAUUAGGAUUUCGGAUAAAAGUUUUUCCCUUAUUUCCCUUUUGUAUCUGCAAUCGGAGACCUCUAGGAGGGUCAAAUUUUCCCGAACAAGAUAUGUAAUGUAACACACCUCAGGUGUGACCUAUAUGUAUGAAUAUGAAGUAUUUCUUAUUAUAUACCUCUCAAAAAUUACGAGUUUUAAAUUUCUAUGCCUACCUUGAAACCAUAAACUAAAGUCAAAACAAAUUACAAGAUACAACUAACACACGAUUGUCAAAACAUUAGAAACUUAUAGUAUUCAUUCUUAUUUUUCUCUACCAGAACAUGCCUCCUCGUAGAUCAACACGCAGAAACUCAACUUCAACACCACCUCCACCACCUCCUCCAAUUAUGGACACCGUUAUGUUCCAGACUGCUGUAACCGCUGCUGUAACUGCAGCAAUGGCUCAAAUGAGCAACAACGGAUCGGGGGGAGGAACAAACAGUUUUACAAAUGGCCAAGGUCAAAGCCGUUCAGGGGUAUGCACUUACAAAGACUUCACCAACGGAAAACCUAUUCCCUUUUAUGGGACUGGGGGAGUAUUGGCUCUAUCUCAAUGGAUAGAGAAAACGGAAGCUGUAUUCGAAAUUUGCGCAUGCCCUGAAGAAAGCAAAGUAAAGUUUGCUGCUUUUACUUUCUCUGAACGCGCCCUGACAUGGUGGAACGGCCACGUCAAGACACUAACCCUAGUGGUGGCGAACUCCAUGGGUUGGGAAAACUUGAAACGAAUGCUCCUUCGAGAAUACUGCCCAAGAGGCGAGAUUCAGAAGCUUGAACAGGAACUGUGGAACCUUUCGAUGGUAGGUUCGGACAUAGCAGGUUACACCAACAGGUUCAGUGACUUAAUAACACUUUGCCCAGGAAUGUUAAUCCUGGAAAGCCAAAAGGUCGAGAGAUACAUCUGGGGACUAUCACCCCAACUUCGAGGAAGUGUGUUAGCUUCCAAACCCAUGACCUUCGACAGCGCCAAGGAACUGGCGCAAUCUCUCGUUGAUCAUGGUGUCUGUCAAGGAGUCACGGCUAUCAUGGCUGAACCAACCAAAGGGAACAGCAACAACGAGAUCAAUGCCAACAACAACAACAAGAAGAAAUUCUGGAACAAGAGAAAGGGGCAAACUUCGCAAGAACCUUCAAAGAAACAAAUGGUUGCGGUUCAUGCUGCUACUACUCCCACCACAACUCCUGCUACCCCUGCGCCAACAAAACCAUAUGCGGGGAAUCUGCCCAAGUGCAGCAAGUGCAACUACCAUCACCACGGUAUUUGCCACGAGAUGCACUAUAAAAACUGCGACAAGAAAGGGUGCACAGCCCGUUUCUGUAAGGCACCAGCACGACCAGUCACUCAAGUUCCUGGUACUGGGAUAAGCCAGGCAUGUUAUGGGUGUGGAGAAACUGGGCACUUCAAAAGGGACUUGCCCAAGACAAGGAACGUUGGUGGUGUUAGGAGAGUGUUGGCGAUAGGCCAAAAUGAAGCAAUAGCCGACCCAACGGUGGUUACGGGUACGUUUCUCCUCAACAACAUUUAUGCAUGCAUACUCUUUGACUGCGGUGCGGAGAGAAGUUUUGUGAGUCAUAAAUUCAAACACUUACUUAAUCAAAGACCCCAACCACUCGAUAAAAUAUUCACUGUAGAAAUGGAUAACGGUAAAACGGAAAGCACAAGUGAUAUGUACGUAGGGUGCACAUUAAAUUUAAAUGAACACUUAUUCCAAUCGACCUAAUGCCCAUUUCAAUAAGAAGUUUCGAUGUCAUCAUCGGUAUGGACUGGUUGAGCCUUCACCAUGCCGACAUACUUUGUCAUGAAAAGUCCGCUCGCCUCAAUCUGCCAAACGGCGAAACCCUUGUCAUUUAUGGUGACAAACCUAGUUCAAGUUUACAAAUCAUCUCCUGUGUUAAGGCACAAAAAUAUCUUCGUAAGGAAUACCAUGCCUUUCUAGCCCACGUAGUAGACCAGAAACAAGAACCAAAGAACAUUAAAGACAUUCCGGAAGUCUGCAACUUCCCAGAUAUUUUCCCAGAAGAUCUUCCAGGAAUUCCACCAGAGCGCCAAGUUGAGUUCAGAAUCGACUUAAUCCCCGGAGCUACCCCAGUAGCAAAGUCGCCUUACCGUUUAGCCCCAGCCGAGAUGCAGGAACUGUCCAGUCAAUUAAACGAGCUGCUGAGCAAGGGAUUCAUCAGACCGAGCUUCUCACCAUGGGGAGCACCAGUCCUAUUCGUGAAAAAGAAGGACGGAUCCUUUCGCAUGUGCAUCGAUUAUCGGGAGCUGAACAAACUCACGAUCAACAACCGAUAUCCCCUACCGCGCAUAGACGACCUGUUCGACCAACUGCAGGGAGCAAGCUACUUCUCAAAGAUCGAUCUAAGAUCUGGUUAUCACCAACUGCGAGUGCUGGAAGGAGACAUCCCCAAAACGGCUUUCCGAACACGUUAUGGUCACUACGAGUUUGUAGUAAUGCCCUUCGGAUUGACAAAUGCUCCAGCGGUGUUGAUAGACUUGAUGAACCGAGUUUGUCAUCCCUUCCUGGAUAAAUUCGUGAUUGUAUUCAUAGAUGAUAUACUCAUCUAUUCUAGAAGCCAGGAAGAACACAGCCAACACCUCCGCCAAGUUUUGGAAACGUUGAGGGCAGAGAAGCUUUACGCAAAAUUUUCCAAGUGCGAAUUUUGGAUUCGGAAAGUAGAUUUCCUAGGACAUGUAGUAAGCAAGGAGGGGGUACACGUGGAUCCUUCUAAGAUCAAGGGAAUAGAAAGUUGGACGAAACCAAGGACCCCUACAGAAAUCCGGCAAUUUUUGGGACUCGCCGGGUAUUACCGAAGGUUCAUACAAAACUUUUCGAAGAUUGCCAAACCACUUACCACCCUAACUCAGAAGAGUGUGACCUUUGACUGAGGAGAAAAACAAGACGCCUCGUUUCAAACGCUAAAGCGAGCCUUAUGUAGUGCGCCCAUCCUAACCUUGCCGGAAGGAACGGAGGACUUCGUGGUCUAUUGCGAUGCAUCAAACCAAGGACUUGGGUGUGUCCUGAUGCAACGAGGGAAGGUCAUCGCCUACGCCUCAAGGCAACUAAAGACGCACGAAGUGAACUACACAACGCACGAUCUUGAGCUAGGAGCAGUCAUCUUCGCUCUAAAGAUAUGGAGACACUAUCUCUACGGCACGAAAUGUACGAUCUUCACCGACCAUAAAAGCCUCCAACAUAUCCUCAACCAGAAAGAACUCAACAUGAGACAAAGACGGUGGGUAGAACUACUAAAUGAUUAUGAAUGCAAGAUUCGAUAUCAUCCCGGAAAGGCUAACGUGGUGGCCGAUGCACUCAGCCGGAAGGAAUACUCGGGCCGCAGAGUGAAGUCUUCAACCAUGACAAUCCAUUCGCACCUAUCCACACAAAUCAAGGAAGCCCAGAUAGAAGCCUUAACAUCAGUAAAUGUGGCAGGGGAAGCCUUAAGGGGAAUGGAUAAGAAGUUUGAGGUCAAGAAUGAUGGAGUUCAUUACUUCAUGGAUCGGAUCUGGACGCCGAAGUUUGGCGGAUUCAGAGAAGUCGUCAUGAACGAAGCCCAUAAAACACGAUACUCCAUACACCCCGGCUCCGAUAAGAUGUAUCUCGACCUCAAGAAAUUGUACUGGUGGCCGAACAUGAAGGCCGAAAUUGCUACCUACGUGAGUAAAUGUCUGACGUGCGCCAAGGUCAAAGUAGAAUACCAAAAGCCCUCAGGAUUGUUGCAACAACCAGAAAUACCAGAAUGGAAGUGGGAACGUAUAACCAUGGAUUUCAUAACCAAACUACCCAGAACGGCAAACGGACUCGACACUAUCUAGGUGAUUGUCGAUAGGUUAACUAAAUCAGUGCACUUCCUACCGAUCAAAGAGACGAUUAAAUUAUAGAAGCUAACUAGGACAUACCUCAGAGAAAUUGUACGACUACAUGGUGUGCCCAUAUCCAUUAUCUCAGACCGAGAUAGUAGUUUCACCUCAAGGUUCUGGCAGUCGCUACAAAAAGUUUUGGGGACAAGGCUAGACAUCAGUACCGCUUAUCACCCACAAACCGACGGCCAGAGUGAGAGAACCAUACAAACCCUAGAACAUAUGUUGAGGUCUUGCAUAAUCGAUUUUGGUAAGGCAUGGAACACACAUCUACCUUUCGUCGAGUUCUCGUACAACAAUAGCUAUCACACAAGCAUCAAGGCUGGCCCGUUCGAAGCCCUCUAUGGCCGCAAAUGCAGGUCGCCUUUGUGCUGGGCCGAAGUGGGGGACACACAACUAGCAAAAGGACAAGCAACAGACAACACGCUCACUGGACCAGAAAUCAUAAGGGAAACUACGGAGAAGAUUGUUCAGAUUCGGGAACGUCUAAAAGCAUCAAGGGACAGACAAAAGAGUUACGCAGAUAAAAGACGGAAACCCUUGGAAUUCCAGGUCGGAGAUCGAGUUCUACUAAAGGUCUCGCCCUGGAAGGGGUUAAUACGCUUCGGGAAGCGCGGAAAACUGAACCCAAGAUACAUCGGACCAUUCGAGAUCCUUGCCAGGAUCGGUCCAGUGGCUUACAAACUUAGAUUACCUCAGGAGCUCCACAACGUACACCCUACCUUUCACGUAUCAAACCUAAAGAAGUGCUUGUCCGAUGAGACCCUUGUCAUCCCUCUAGACGAAAUCGCAAUAAAUGAAAAUCUCCAAUUUGUAGAGGAACCAGUAGAGAUCAUGGAUCGGGAAAUAAAAAGGACUAAACAAAGCCGCAUACCUAUUGUAAAGGUCCGCUGGAACGCCAAGCGAGGACCUGAAUACACCUGGGAACGCGAGGAUCAGAUGAAACAGAAAUACCCGCAUCUUUUUCCUAACCUGUAAACUCUAU